GAAAAGCCCCCACCAUCACCUCCAUCCUCACCAAUUGACUUGUCUAUUGGACCAAAGCAUUCACCAGCUACCAGAUCCUCUCCCCUCUCUUCAAUGAAAAUGCCUCCUUACUCUCCUGUGUCCCACACCACUACAAUGGUGACAGAAGUACCGACUCAUACCACAGAUGCAGCGCAUAGCUAUAUCAAAAGUGCCUGGGAUGGAAACGACAGUUAUGUACUGCUGUCCAGAGUGGGACCCUACAAAUUAUUUUUCAAAGAUCUGCAGAUUGGCCCUGGGAAGGAGUUGGAGAGUGAGGUUAUAAAUGCAUACCUGUCACUGAAGGUGAGGCAGCACAAUAUCACCUCUCCGGGCAAAGCAUACCACAUGGACACAUUUGCCAUGACAGACAUGUGGAAGGGAAAACAUGAGAAGCUCAAGUUGGACCCAGCAAACUAUGAGCUAAUAGUGGGCGUUGUAAAUGAGCGCAACCACUGGUUCCUGGUUGCAAGUAUUUGUGGUAGGCCUAUAGAACAUUUAACAUUGGCUUAAUGUUGAUUUGCUCUAAAAUCGUGUUGUCUGGAUAUUUUUCCACACAACCUAGGCCAUUUACCCAUCCGAACAAAAAAAAAAACAUUCUACUUGACUCACUUGGAGAGUCACGCAUCAAGAAGAAAAAGUGUUUGGAGGCAACAAGAGCCCUGAUGAUGGCAAAAGGUGUCUCAGUUUCACACUGGGUUUGUGAAAGCCUGCCUCACCCACUUCAGAGGGACACUAUUUCAUGUGGCGUGUUUGCUUUGAAGUUUGCAGAACACAUUCUGCAAAAUUCUACAAUAAACUUCUCCAGUGAGCCACAAGACAUAACACGGUUCAGAAUGGAGAUUGCUUUAACACUGCUACACCAAUCUGAUGACCUAAGUGAACUCUGCCACUUUUGUGGAGAGGCAGAAACAUUUGAAGACACUGGAGGAGAGACUGAAACAUUUGAAGACUCUGAAGUUCUUUGGGUAAGAGCAUUUUUGGUUUGUAGUGCAAGUCAAGUAAUAUGAAUGGACCAUUGCUUUAAAACUGUUUGUUUCUUAUGUUGACAGAUUGCUUGUGACUACUGCGGGCGGUGGUUCCACUUAAAAUGUGUGGGCAAUCCAUCUACAGAGAAGGAAUACAAAUGUGUUUCUUGCAAUAAAUGACUCAGUUAUGAAGCCUUUUGUUUUUUUUUUUGUUUUUUUUCCCCCUCAAUUUUCACUUUGGGUAAACUCUUUUCUUUUAUAAAAUUUGCCAUUUAAAAUCACCUGUGAACUACCUGUGGUUCAAAUAGGCCUGCAAUGGAGGCUUCUGUACUAACCAAAGCCUUAAUAAACAUGGCAUUAAAAUCUGUAGUGCAUUUUAAAUUGGAAAAGGAAUAAAGAUUUGAAGAGGAAAAAAAAAAAAAAAAAAAAAAACCUUCGA
Molecule: long non-coding RNA, 1425 nt
Organism: Megalobrama amblycephala (Wuchang bream)
Lineage: Eukaryota; Metazoa; Chordata; Actinopteri; Cypriniformes; Xenocyprididae
Exons: 7
Source: RefSeq, a predicted model, not a curated record